Molecule: unclassified non-coding RNA, 272 nt
Filed under: Cercozoa sp.
Lineage: Eukaryota; Cercozoa
Description: partial contains small subunit ribosomal RNA, internal transcribed spacer 1, and 5.8S ribosomal RNA
Rfam family: Eukaryotic small subunit ribosomal RNA (bases 1-47)
Source: RNAcentral
AAAGUCGUAACAAGGUUUCCGUAGGUGAACCUGCGGAAGGAUCAUUAUCACGUAUCCACGUAUAAACCAUUGUGAACCGUACUUUAACCUCCACGAAGUUGAUGCGCGCUCUUUUAUUAGGGUGAACGUCAACGUAAAUGGAGCGUAUUAUACCUAUUAACCAUUUUAACCAAUCUUUAUAACUUUAUGAACUAACUUUAUUUUAUACUCUUCGGAGAUAAAAUUCAUUACGAAACAAAGAACAACUCUUAGCAACGGAUAUCUUGGUUCUC